Molecule: ribosomal RNA, 274 nt
Filed under: uncultured bacterium
Lineage: Bacteria
Description: partial 16S ribosomal RNA
Rfam family: Bacterial small subunit ribosomal RNA
Source: RNAcentral
AUACGGAGGGGGCUAGCGUUGUUCGGAAUUACUGGGCGUAAAGCGCGCGUAGGCGUCUUAUCAAGUUAGGCGUGAAAGGCCUGGGCUCAACCCGGGAACUGCGCUUAAUACUGGUAGACUUGAGUCCGGGAGAGGGUGGCGGAAUUCCCAGUGUAGAGGUGAAAUUCGUAGAUAUUGGGAAGAACACCAGUGGCGAAGGCGGCCACCUGGCCCGGUACUGACGCUGAGGUGCGAAAGCGUGGGGAGCAAACAGGAUUAGAUACCCCAGUAGUCC